GAUGAACGCUGGCGGCGUGCCUAAUACAUGCAAGUCGAGCGAACGGACGAGGAUCUUGCUUCUCUGAUGUUAGCGGCGGACGGGUGAGUAACACGAGGAUACCCUACCUAGAAGACUGGGAUAACUUCGGGGAACCUGAUCUAGUACCGGAUAAUAUUUUGAACCGCAUGGUUCUAAAGUCAAAGACGUUCUUGCUGUCACUUAUACAUGGAUCCUCGCUGCAUUAGCUAGUUGGUACGGUAACGGCUUACCAAGGCUACGAUGCAUAGCCGACCUGAGAGGAUGAUCGGCCACACUGGAACUGAGACACGGUCCAGACUCCUACGGGAGGCAGCAGUAGGGAAUAUUCCGCAAUGGGCGAAAGCCUGACGGAGCAACGCCGCGUGAGUGAUGAAGGUCUUCGGAUCGUAAAACUCUGUUAUUAGGGAAGAACAUAUGUGUAAGUAACUGUGCACAUCUUGACGGUACCUAAUCAGAAAGCCACGGCUAACUACGUG
Molecule: ribosomal RNA, 497 nt
Filed under: uncultured bacterium
Lineage: Bacteria
Description: partial 16S ribosomal RNA
Rfam family: Bacterial small subunit ribosomal RNA
Source: RNAcentral